This is a long non-coding RNA of Lagenorhynchus albirostris (white-beaked dolphin), 661 nucleotides long. RefSeq lists it as uncharacterized. The transcript is spliced from 5 exons. The record is from RefSeq and is a predicted model, not a curated record. NCBI's taxonomy places the organism in Eukaryota, Metazoa, Chordata, Mammalia, Artiodactyla, Delphinidae.
UAUCGCAAGGAGGUUGCUUGGCUGGCAUCGCAAGCUCUCUCUCCCCUGAGAAACAGCCCUCAUCGGUGACAGUGGUAAUCAUCUUCUCUGUAGCAACUGCUGUAUCACGGAGAACUAACCACCAUGGGACCAGGAGCAAGGUGAUAGUGAAUCUACUCUUUACUGAAGAGCCUCAUGGGUGAGGAAGAAAAACCAGGUUUAAUCAACUCUAAAUUAAAGACACUUGGAAAAUGCUAUUCUGCCAAGGAAGAAGCACUUCAGUUUCCAAGAUGUCUUGUGAUAGAUGCCAAAACCAUGAUUUAAAGAGAAGUCGAGGUCAUUUCAUCUUCUGUGGAGGAAAAAUGAGUUAACUUGACCUUGUAAACUCAGAGAAGAAGAAAGGAGAGCAAAACAUCUUGAAGACGUGCCUUGUACUAUCAGAUACUUCUUUUGUUAGGUUUCCUUGAGCACAUGCAGAAGACUAAGAACACUAAGGAGCGAAGCCUGGCAAGGAUCAAGAAAAGAAAGGAAAGUGUUGGGGGCAUGAGUUGUAGAAGAAACUAAGUGAAUCAGAGACCCAAAACUUCAGAAACCACAUUGGAACAGAAGUCUUAGGCUAUUCAGCACAAUGCACAAUAGCCAAGAAGAAAAUAAACUGAGAAUCAAUAACCUCAAAUUCUGA